GAGUUUGAUCUUGGCUCAGAGCGAACGCUGGCGGCAGGCUUAACACAUGCAAGUCGAGCGGGCGUAGCAAUACGUCAGCGGCAGACGGGUGAGUAACGCGUGGGAACGUACCUUUUGGUUCGGAACAACACAGGGAAACUUGUGCUAAUACCGGAUAAGCCCUUACGGGGAAAGAUUUAUCGCCGAAAGAUCGGCCCGCGUCUGAUUAGCUAGUUGGUAGGGUAAUGGCCUACCAAGGCGACGAUCAGUAGCUGGUCUGAGAGGAUGAUCAGCCACAUUGGGACUGAGACACGGCCCAAACUCCUACGGGAGGCAGCAGUGGGGAAUAUUGGACAAUGGGGGCAACCCUGAUCCAGCCAUGCCGCGUGAGUGAUGAAGGCCCUAGGGUUGUAAAGCUCUUUUGUGCGGGAAGAUAAUGACGGUACCGCAAGAAUAAGCCCCGGCUAACUUCGUGCCAGCCGCCGCGGUAAU
RNAcentral lists this ribosomal RNA (471 nucleotides) under uncultured Alphaproteobacteria bacterium. RNAcentral describes it as "bacterial SSU rRNA". It matches the Rfam family "Bacterial small subunit ribosomal RNA", at positions 9 to 524 of the family's 1533-position model. Lineage: Bacteria; Pseudomonadati; Pseudomonadota; Alphaproteobacteria. RNAcentral also lists the same sequence under 1 other name. The record is from RNAcentral.